UUAUCAUCAUGAUACCUAACUGCUGUCGUUGAAAUGUAAGAUGAAACUAACAUAAGGGUAUUUUAAUGUGAUCAUAUAUACCAGUUUCCAUAAUAAAGGAUUUAUUCCUACAAGUCAGCCGAUAUAAGCCAUCCAUUUGUUCAAAGGAGCUUGAGAAUACGGGAAAAUAUUCCUGAUUCAAUCAAAUUCCGGGACCCGAAAACUCUAGAGUUAUUAUUGGAAAAUCUCUUUAUCUAGAACGAGUUUCAGUUAUUGUGGCUGUUGGCCCGUGGCGGUUGUUGAUCUGGUCUUUUUAUUGUCCAUAUUUUCUCAAGAGUAACAAGGGCAAGAAUAUUACAUCAUUUGGAGGUAUUAGCGAAUAAUGUUUACAAUGGAUAACUCAAAAAUAUAGUCAAUAAAAUGUC
Molecule: long non-coding RNA, 404 nt
Organism: Anthonomus grandis grandis
Lineage: Eukaryota; Metazoa; Arthropoda; Insecta; Coleoptera; Curculionidae
Exons: 2
Source: RefSeq, a predicted model, not a curated record